This 22-nucleotide non-coding RNA is filed under the name Arabidopsis thaliana (thale cress). Lineage: Eukaryota; Viridiplantae; Streptophyta; Magnoliopsida; Brassicales; Brassicaceae. The record is from RNAcentral.
UAAGCUUUCAUACUUGUGCCUG